UGCCAAGCAACUCCUAUCCCUACCUCCUCGCGGUACUGGCCGGGGUACGAGUAACCUUAGGGAAGAUCGGGUAACCAACCCCCGGUGGGAACUUUGGUCGUAUGCUGACAGGGAAGG
Molecule: non-coding RNA, 117 nt
Organism: Aedes aegypti (yellow fever mosquito)
Lineage: Eukaryota; Metazoa; Arthropoda; Insecta; Diptera; Culicidae
Source: Rfam